GACGAACGCUGGCGGCGUGCCUAAAACAUGCAAGUCGAACGAGGGGAGCAAUCCCUUAGUGGCGAACGGCGGAGUAAUACAUAAGCAACGUGCCCCGAAGACUGGGAUAUACGGCCGAAAGGCCGGGCAAAUACCGGAUGUGGCGGAAGAGAGGCAUCUCAUUUCCACUAAACAGUUUUUGCUUCGGGAGCGGCUUAUGGCCUAUCAGGUAGGUUGGGGGGGUAACGGCCCACCAAGCCGACGACGGGUAGCGGGCUGAGAGGAUGAUCCGCUCGAGUGGGACUGAGACACGGCCCACACACCUACGGGUGGCAGCAGUUGGGAAUCUUGCACAAUGGGGGAAACCCUGAUGCAGCGACGCCGCGUGGAGGACGAAGGGUCUAGGCCUGUAAACUCCUUUUA
RNAcentral lists this ribosomal RNA (402 nucleotides) under uncultured bacterium. RNAcentral describes it as "bacterial SSU rRNA". It matches the Rfam family "Bacterial small subunit ribosomal RNA", at positions 28 to 438 of the family's 1533-position model. The record is from RNAcentral.